UCACCCCUCAAGCCCCGUGCUUGGUGUUGGACGGCCGGUCGAGGUCCCCCUCGACCCCUCCUAAAGACAACGACGGCGGCCUGUGGUUCCCCCGGUACACUGAGCUUCUUACCGAGCACGUACCGGACGAGGGCGCCCAGGACCCGGUCUUCUCCUCUCGCGAGGAAAUAUUUUUCUAU
This 179-nucleotide unclassified non-coding RNA is filed under the name uncultured Cladophialophora. RNAcentral describes it as "sequence contains ITS2". The record is from RNAcentral. Lineage: Eukaryota; Fungi; Ascomycota; Eurotiomycetes; Chaetothyriales; Herpotrichiellaceae.